GCGGAGCGGUGACCGUAGCGGGCGCUCGGGAUCACGGAGUGCGAGGGGUGCGGGAGUCGGCCUGGACCUGCUGCUGCUGUCGGGUCGGCUGCUGGACCUGUUCCGACGUCUCAGUGCUGACGACCGCGCAAGGUCCCGAUAAAAAGCGCGCCGCUGAUCGUCCGUCCUCGCCGUCGUCAUGGACGAGAAGCGGCUGCAGGCGGC
Pollicipes pollicipes is the source of this 204-nucleotide long non-coding RNA. RefSeq lists it as uncharacterized. The transcript is spliced from 3 exons. Lineage: Eukaryota; Metazoa; Arthropoda; Thecostraca; Pollicipedomorpha; Pollicipedidae. The record is from RefSeq and is a predicted model, not a curated record.